CUCUGGGGGGUCAGGGCCAGUGGCUAACAAAGCCUCUGGCUGCAUGCCUCUCACUUUUCUCUCUGCAAAGAGUGUCCAAUCAACCCUUCCCCCACCCAGAACUUUCUCUCAGUUCAUCCUCAUAAGGGUGCCGGGCCAGGAAACCCUCAGGCUUCUGCUUCCUUCCCUCCUUGAAGACUCUGCACACCCAGCUGGGCUGGUGGAUGGAAAGCAGCACAUCGCGUGGUGGGCGAGGCCAGAGGGCUGCAGGUGCCGGCAGAGCCCCAGCCCAACAGCAGGACAGAUGUGGGGAGGACUCCAGCCCAACAGCAGGACAGGCGGUGGUGGAUUCAAUCUCUCCACCCUGAAGCCUGCCCACCAUCAGUUCACUGAACUUGCACCGAAGAUGCACGUACCAUUUCCCAGACACCAAGAAGACAGAGCCCACGAUCUGAUGGCUUAGGGACUUCCUCUUGGAGGCUGGCUUCCUAUACGGGGAGUUUCAACAGACAGUGUCUGAUAUGCCAAGAGCUGGGUGUAAGAAGGUGAGAGAGUAGUGUGUCCAGUUUCCCACAAAGGAGGGGUAACUGGAUAAAAGGAAUUGAGUUUUGAGGGAUAAGUCAUCUUGGCCAGAGGAAGAAAAUAAAAGUCAUAUUUUAGACAGAAGGGGCAGCUGAGCAGACGUGUAUGGACAAACACAAGAGCACACUUAUGUUUGGUAAAUAUUCACUACCGUGGAAAGACGUGAGGUGAGGGGAGGUGGGGUGGAAGACAGAGAGUCAGAUGGAGCUUGUGAGAAGGCCGUCUUCAGCCUCUGGGGCUUUGAGCUUCUGUCUGUAGCAGGAGAGAGAGGUCAAAGUGGGAUUACAGUAUAUGCACAUCCAGUCAAGUGAGAAACCCCUUGACCUUUCAGACUAAUGAGACAGUAGUUUCCUUUGUUGGCAUAAGCUAUUCUGAGUUGUCUUCUGUGAUCUGCAACUAACACAAACGGGAAGCCACGGAAGCAUUUGAUGGGGGUAGGGACGUGGUCCCCCUGCAUCUUAGAGCUGUCUUUAGCUGCCGUUGGAGGAUCAGGGAUGGGAGGGGAUGGGGGAUUCAGGACAUGGAGCGGAGAUUACUGCAAUGAGCCCAGUAGAGUAGGCUCUAACAUAGGACAGGAAGAGAGAAAGUUUAGAGAAAGAACAGCCAAAGGUCGAGCCCAAUUAAACAUGGAGGAAGUUUGUUGAGAAUGACCCCGAGUUUCUGAUGUUGGUGAGUAGCAGAGUGAAGGAUCAGCUCUGGGAGAAGGUGGACCUGCUUGGUCUUUAUUAUUUGGAGUUUGAGUUAUUGUUGGAGAUUUAGGGUCGCAAUAAAUAAUAUACCUCUGCUUGAGGGUUCAAUUCAGAGAUAAACCGAGGGUCAGUUAAUUAGAGAGGCAAGUGUGAGAUUUAUUAUUGAAAAGAUCUCUACAGGAAGAUGGAGCUUAGGAGGACGGUUCAUUGGGCCUAUCAGUAUACCCCUCUGCUCUGCAUGGCCUAGAAAAGGUGAGAACUCAGAAACUGUGCAGACACAUCAGCCCUGAAGGAGGACCCAGAAGAGCUGAAGCCCCACGCUGUCUAUUGCUUCUGCCCAAACUCACCCAUCAGGAGUGAGAGAAGAGGACAAGAGAGGUGAGGAGUGGUGUUAUAAAGGCAGUUCUGCCACAGCAGACCCAGGAGUAGGGUGAGUGUUGCUGCCAGGAGACCUCUUACAACCUGUAAGUGAAGCACCCAGCAGGUCCUUCCAAGCCUGUGUCCGAUGUUCACGGGGGAGAUCCCAGGGCAUGAAAGAUGCACACGUGUGUGCUGGAUACACAUGAAAUGAAAUCUCAGGAAGGCAUGGGCUGCCCCAGGGAGAGACUUUGCUUAGGAGACAGCAGUGGCCUGCAGUGGCCCAAGGAUGAUGGAUCCCUAAGUAUCACCACUGAAGAACUCUUUAAUGAGACAAAACAGUGACUUCCAAGGAGAGCUAGCAAAGAGGAGUGUCCCAAAUGCCAAAUGUUAUACUCUGUAAAGAAGUCCAUUAGGAUAUGCAAUGAAAACUGUCCUUAGGUUUCAGCAAUAUGGGCAUCACACAUGAAAUUCAGAGAAAUAGCCAGGGCAGGAUUCCCAUGUUGGUCAGGCUGUAGUAUCGAGGGGGGCUACCUCCUGAUCACUAAGUUGAACAGGGCCAUUUCCUGUUGGGAUCCCAAGUGCAAACGAAGCAGCAUGACUCUGGGUGUUGCCUGCUGAAUUCUCACUAGUGUAGCUCAGAGGGGAGGCUGAGUGUAAUCACCUCAGAGCCCCUAUGUUUUCAGCCAGAGGUUUUCAAUCUGUGCUCCUGGGAACCUUGAGGUUUCAGGGAUCCCUUAGAGCCAGCAAACGGUCGGCUUACCCCUACUCCAAUGCAAGUGUCUCUGAACAUUACAGCUCUACCUUUUCAUCACAUACCUGAUACUCCACUUGAAUGGCAGGGUCCCAAUUUUCCUUAAAGUUUGAAAAGUUCUGUUAAAGACUAAUAAAAUGACAUCUAAAUUUACGCUACAUUUUUUGUUUCAUCUUGUUUUUAUUCUUUGUAAAUACACUAAAUUAAAAUACACACUGGAAAGAUCAAUGCUGAA
Long non-coding RNA from Balaenoptera acutorostrata (minke whale), 2596 nucleotides. RefSeq lists it as uncharacterized. NCBI's taxonomy places the organism in Eukaryota, Metazoa, Chordata, Mammalia, Artiodactyla, Balaenopteridae. The transcript has 3 exons. The record is from RefSeq and is a predicted model, not a curated record.